This 87-nucleotide non-coding RNA is filed under the name Pseudomonas tolaasii NCPPB 2192. The record is from RNAcentral. Lineage: Bacteria; Pseudomonadati; Pseudomonadota; Gammaproteobacteria; Pseudomonadales; Pseudomonadaceae.
UGUGGGAGCUGGCUUGCCUGCGAUGCAGGCGACUCGGUAUGCCUGCCAGACCGAGGAGAGGCCAUCGCAGGCAAGCCAGCUCCCACA